Molecule: ribosomal RNA, 163 nt
Filed under: Lespedeza thunbergii subsp. formosa
Lineage: Eukaryota; Viridiplantae; Streptophyta; Magnoliopsida; Fabales; Fabaceae
Description: 5.8S ribosomal RNA
Rfam family: 5.8S ribosomal RNA
About the family: 5.8S ribosomal RNA (5.8S rRNA) is a component of the large subunit of the eukaryotic ribosome. It is transcribed by RNA polymerase I as part of the 45S precursor that also contains 18S and 28S rRNA. Functionally, it is thought that 5.8S rRNA may be involved in ribosome translocation.
Source: RNAcentral
GAACGACUCUCGGCAACGGAUAUCUCGGCUCUUGCAUCGAUGAAGAACGUAGCGAAAUGCGAUACUUGGUGUGAAUUGCAGAAUCCCGUGAACCAUCGAGUCUUUGAACGCAAGUUGCGCCCGAAGCCAUUAGGCCAAGGGCACGCCUGCCUGGGUGUCACAC